This 1166-nucleotide ribosomal RNA is filed under the name metagenome. RNAcentral's name for it is "bacterial LSU rRNA". It matches the Rfam family "Bacterial large subunit ribosomal RNA", at positions 1761 to 2925 of the family's 2925-position model. The record is from RNAcentral.
UCGAAGCUGUUGGUGGUCGCAGUGAAAUGGCGGUUGUGACUGUUUACUAAAAACACAGGACUCUGCGAAGUCGUAAGACGACGUAUAGGGUCUGAUGCCUGCCCGGUGCUGGAAGGUUAAGGGGAUAUGUCAGAGCAAUCGAAGCAUUGAACCGAAGCCCCAGUAAACGGCGGCCGUAACUAUAACGGUCCUAAGGUAGCGAAAUUCCUUGUCGGGUAAGUUCCGACCUGCACGAAGGGCAUAACAACAUCCGCACUGUCUCGACCAGGGACUCAGCGAAAUUACAUUGGGGGUGAAGAUGCCCUCUACCCGCGGAAAGACGGAAAGACCCCAUGAACCUUUACUGCAACUUGGCAGUGAUUUUCGGGUUGUUCUGCGUAGGAUAGGUGGGAGGCUUUGAAGUCGGGCUUCCGGGUUCGACAGAGCCAACGUUGAAAUACCACCCUGAAUAAUCUGGAAAUCUAACCUGCGCCCAUGAUCUGGGCGAGGGACACUGCCUGGUGGGCAGUUUGACUGGGGCGGUCGCCUCCUAAAUUGUAACGGAGGCGUGCGACGGUUCCCUCAGGCUGAUUGGAAACCAGCCGUAGAGUGCAAACGCAUAAGGGAGCUUUACUGCGAGACUGACAAGUCGAACAGUUGCGAAAGCAGGUGUUAGUGAUCCGGUGGUACCACAUGGAAGGGCCAUCGCUCAUCGGAUAAAAGGUACUCUGGGGAUAACGGGCUGAUCGCGCCUGAGAGUUCACAUCGGCGGCGCGGUUUGGCACCUCGAUGUCGGCUCAUCGCAUCCUGGGGCUGGAGCAGGUCCCAAGGGUUUGGCUGUUCGCCAAUUAAAGCGGUACGCGAGCUGGGUUUAAAACGUCGUGAGACAGUUUGGUCCCUAUCUUCCGUGGGCGCAGGACACUUGAGAGGAGCUAUCCAUAGUACGAGAGGACCUGGAUGGACGAACCUCUGGUGCUCCGGUUGUCACGCCAGUGGCAUAGCCGGGUAGCCAUGUUCGGAACAGAUAACCGCUGAAGGCAUAUAAGCGGGAAGCUGGCCUCAAGACUAGGUGUCCCUGACGCAAGUCACUAAAGGCCCCUCGAAGACUACGAGGUUGAUAGGCUAGGUGUGGAAGCACAGCGAUGUGCGGAGCUAACUAGUACUAAUAGGCCGUGCGACUUGACCUC